RNAcentral lists this ribosomal RNA (468 nucleotides) under uncultured bacterium. RNAcentral's name for it is "partial 16S ribosomal RNA". It matches the Rfam family "Bacterial small subunit ribosomal RNA", at positions 28 to 507 of the family's 1533-position model. The record is from RNAcentral.
GACGAACGCUGGCGGCGUGCUUAACACAUGCAAGUCGAACGGAAAGGCCCUGCUUUUGUGGGGUGCUCGAGUGGCGAACGGGUGAGUAACACGUGAGUAACCUGCCCUUGACUUUGGGAUAACUUCAGGAAACUGGGGCUAAUACCGGAUAGGAGCUCCUGCUGCAUGGUGGGGGUUGGAAAGUUUCGGCGGUUGGGGAUGGACUCGCGGCUUAUCAGCUUGUUGGUGGGGUAGUGGCUUACCAAGGCUUUGACGGGUAGCCGGCCUGAGAGGGUGACCGGCCACAUUGGGACUGAGAUACGGGCCAGACUCCUGCAGGAGGCAGCAGUGGGGAAUAUUGCACGAUGGGCGGAAGCCUGAUGCAGCAACGCCGCGUGCGGGAUGACGGCCUUCGGGUUGUAAGCCGCUUUCGCCUGUGACGAAGCGUGAGUGACGAUAAUGGGUAAAGAAGCACCGGCUAACUACGUG